Chlorocebus sabaeus (green monkey) is the source of this 2192-nucleotide non-coding RNA. The record is from RefSeq and is a predicted model, not a curated record. NCBI's taxonomy places the organism in Eukaryota, Metazoa, Chordata, Mammalia, Primates, Cercopithecidae.
UCAGCCUCCGGAGUAGCUGGGACUACCGGUGCGCACCACCACACCCAGGUGUCACUCUGGAAGUGUCACUCUGGAAGUGUCAAUUUGAAAUGACCACACACUGAAUUGUGAAGGUUAUUGAGGACACCCAUCUCAUGAAUGAGAAAGCUCAGGAAGUCUGAGCAGAUGGCUCUGGAAGCAAGAAGGAGGAAAGAUAAACUUCUCUUCCUUCCAUGCUGAGAUUCUCCCCAUUAUUUCAAUGUACACUACAAAAACCACAGAUGAAUAUCAGUUGUUUAACUACAAGAAGAAAAAUAUUCAAGGUCCAAAGAUCUUAUAAAGGAAGCUAUCCUUGCUAAUGACUUUAUGAAGAACUUAGAGCUGUCACAGAUCCAGGAGAUUGUGCAUUGUACGUAGCCGGUGGGAGUAUGGCAAAGACAGUUGCAUCAUCAAAGAAGGAAAUGUAGGGUCACUGGUGUAUGUCAUGGAAGGUACGGUUUGUAACUCCAAUCGUCUGACAUUCAAAUAUUCUCUUUUCAUCUUAUCAGCCUGCACACAGAUGGCAGUGCAUUACAUGGAAAAUUCCAUUUUUCCUUCUUUUAUUGAGAAAUUAGUUUGAAAAGAAUUGAAACACUACUUAGAUACAGUGGUUAACUAAGUGAAGUGUUUGUGUUUAGAAUAUUAAUAUGAGAAUCCAGUAUUUUUUCAGACAUGGAUAAAGUUAAAAAUGUGAAAAAAGAAAUGCCGUUUAUUACACUGAAUAAGACUGCAUGUAGUCAGGUCACUGAGCAAACCUACAAAGCUUCAGCAGAAGCUCAAGAUCACUGGAAGUAUUUUUGGUCUGAUAAUUUAAAUGCCUUCAACUCCACCCUUAACUUUUAAUAUGUGACUAGUUUUCCUGCUAUGAAGCUUUAGUAAAAAGAAAAUGUUUUUCAUGUGUAUGACAGAGGCAGAUAAUAAAGGUUGGAUGGCAUAUUACCUGCCUAAAUAGGAAUGAUAGCUUGUUUCAUACAUCUUGUAAAUACUAACAUAGAAAGUGCUUUGAAACAAACUUAAGCCGCACUGUGCAAAUAUGUUUUAUGCCCAGGUAAAUUUUCAUAAUAUUUAUUUCUGACUGGAAAUUUAUAAUGACAUGUUUUUCUUUUGUAGUAAGAAAGUAGCUUGAGAUAAUGACUGAAUUAGUUGGGAAGAAAGUGAGCUCAGAAAUACCUGUAAUGUAAGAUGGUGACACAUGAAAAUCAGUUUCUUAGGUGGUGAUUAAGGUUUUAUCCAAAAGAUUUGUGUGAUAGUGUCCUAUAAUUAUCAAACUUGUAGGUUGUUCAGAGAAGGCGUGUAUUUGGGCAAGUCACUUCAUUUCUUUCUUUCACCUAAACAAUUUGUUAAAAAAGAAGAUACUCUUUCUUUCUGCCAAUGGUUUUCAACUGGUGAUGAUUCUGUCUCCCAGGGGAUGUUUGGUGAUAUCUGGAGACAUUUUUGGUUGUCACAAACUGGGUGAUGUUGGGGAGACUGCUGACUUCUAGUAGGUAAAGGCCACGCACACUGCUCAAAAGGGUAGUUGCCCAGAAUAAAGUUUUAUCAGGCCCAAAAUGUCCUUAGAGCCAACAUUUUAAAAAUCCUGCAUUCUGCCUUCUUUACAGGAUUGGUAUAAAAUAAGAUAAUUUGUAUGAAUGUUUAAUGUAAAGUAUAGAACACCACAACAUAAUAAUAAGUAUUAUUAUUCUAUUAAAAAGUUGACAGUGUAUAAGAAAUAUUCUUUCUUCAUUCAGCGUUCACCUUUUAUUUAUUCUUUGUCAACUUCUUGGAUAUAUGUUAGGCAUAUAUGUUAGGCAUUCAGUUUUUAAGUAGUAAUUUCUAUCACUUAUUUCCCUAAUAGUUUUCACCUUCUGUGUCAACAAUAUAAAGUUCUUUCUGGCCAAAAAAUAUAAAUAUUCAUCUAGACUUUCUUCUGGUGACAAAACACAGUAAACAAAAAUACACAUAAUGUACACUUGGCAGAGAAUUGCAAAGAAAGAUGAAAUUAUAGAACAAGGCUGUAUGUGAAUAGUGAGAAGAAAGGAUGAGAAAUGUAAAAAAUAUAUAUAGAGGUCAAGUAUAGAAUAUAAAAAUAGAAGCAAUAUCUUAAGAACUACUAACAGUUAGAACCAUGUUUUGUUUUGUUUUCGUUUUUGCUUUUUUUUGAGAUGGAGUCUUGCUCUUGUCACACAGGCUGGAGU